Triticum dicoccoides is the source of this 1071-nucleotide long non-coding RNA. RefSeq lists it as uncharacterized. The transcript is spliced from 4 exons. The record is from RefSeq and is a predicted model, not a curated record. NCBI's taxonomy places the organism in Eukaryota, Viridiplantae, Streptophyta, Magnoliopsida, Poales, Poaceae.
CUUGAUCUUGAGGCACUCAUGUGUAUUGCUUUUCUUCCUAGAGAAAUACAUGUCUAUUGAUUAUUAUUGGAAUUGGUUUGAAGAAACAGAGUAUGAUCUUCUUUCACAAGUAGUGAUCAUAAAACAACAGGGAGAGGCGUUUUAGCUCCCGGAGGGUGUUUCAGCGGUGUGCUCGAGGACGAGUGUUGACAGCGCGGGUGUCCGAUUUCCAGCGGCGCAGACAUGGCGAUGGAUUUCUCCAUCUCUCCGGUAGACAGGUUGCCCAUCUUCCCGGAUGAGGCGGCUAGCGUGGUGGCCCUAAUGGAUUUGAUUGCGGGCGAAGAGGAAUCCGCCAAUAGAUCUUGUGGGGCUGUUGUCGCCGGAUUUGCGCAUGGCUCAUCUGGGCAGUUCAUACGUGGUGUUGUGUGCAGCAAGGAGAGGACUGUAGCUACCGGUGGCGCCGCCAUGUCCGGUUUCAGUGAGAGCGAGGGUGACAGCGCAGAUGCAAUUGACCAAGCCGACGACCAAAGCACAUAUUGAUGAACACCAAGAGGCUGUGAUUCAAGAUCUAGUUAUGGAGGGUCUGCUCAAUCUACUACUUGCAAGGUGGAUCCGCAAGCCCCUGGGUGGACUUAGAGAGUAAGAGUCGGGAAUCAGCCAACGGAUAGAGCCCCAUGCCCAGAAAGAUUAGGCGCGCUGGAGGAGACAAUUCGAGGGCAUGCAGAUAAAUUGGGGGACCAUGUAGUUGAGCCUGCUAUUGGCUUAACAUUCGACUCCUUGGGGGAUGCAUAUGAUUUUUGCAACCUUUAUUCGUGGGAGCAUGGUUUUGGUAUCAGGACACCCUGUCCCAGCGGGCUCGGCACACUCUCCGCUCCGCUGAAAUUACAGGACAGCCUGUCCCAGCAGGCUCGACACUCUCCGCUCUGCUGAAAUUACAGGACCGGACACUAUGUCUGGGACUGGGAAGAAUUGGUGCACUGGAGCAAAUGAUUUAGGGGUAUACAGAUUAGUUGGGUGAGCACGGUGCUAUUGGGCUAACACUAGACUCUAUGUAAGAAACCUAUGGUUUUUACAAUCUUUAUUCAUGGAAGC